Molecule: ribosomal RNA, 253 nt
Filed under: uncultured bacterium
Lineage: Bacteria
Description: partial 16S ribosomal RNA
Rfam family: Bacterial small subunit ribosomal RNA
Source: RNAcentral
UACGUAGGUGGCAAGCGUUAUCCGGAUUUACUGGGUGUAAAGGGAGCGUAGACGGCAGGGCAAGUCUGGAGUGAAAGGCAGGGGCCCAACCCCUGGACUGCUCUGGAAACUGUCCGGCUGGAGUGCAGGAGAGGUAAGUGGAAUUCCUAGUGUAGCGGUGAAAUGCGUAGAUAUUAGGAGGAACACCAGUGGCGAAGGCGGCUUACUGGACUGUAACUGACGUUGAGGCUCGAAAGCGUGGGGAGCAAACAGG